RNAcentral lists this ribosomal RNA (468 nucleotides) under uncultured bacterium. RNAcentral describes it as "partial 16S ribosomal RNA". It matches the Rfam family "Bacterial small subunit ribosomal RNA", at positions 28 to 507 of the family's 1533-position model. The record is from RNAcentral.
GACGAACGCUGGCGGCGUGCUUAACACAUGCAAGUCGAACGGAAAGGCCCUGCUUUUGUGGGGUGCUCGAGUGGCGAACGGGUGAGUAACACGUUAGUAACCUGCCCUUGACUUUGGGAUAACUUCAGGAAACUGGGGCUAAUACCGGAUAGGAGCUCCUGCUGCAUGGUGGGGGUUGGAAAGUUUCGGCGGUUGGGGAUGGACUCGCGGCUUAUCAGCUUGUUGGUGGGGUAGUGGCUUACCAAGGCUUUGACGGGUAGCCGGCCUGAGAGGGUGACCGGCCACAUUGGGACUGAGAUACGGCCCAGACUCCUACGGGAGGCAGCAGUGGGGAAUAUUGCAAAAUGGGCGGAAGCCUGAUGCAGCAACGCCGCGUGCGGGAUGACGGCCUUCGGGUUGUAAACCGCUUUCGCCUGUGACGAAGCGUGAGUGACGGUAAUGGGUAAAGAAGCACCGGCUAACUACGUG